UACGAAGGGGGCUAGCGUUGCUCGGAUUUACUGGGCGUAAAGGGCGCGUAGGCGGAUGUUUAAGUCGGGGGUGAAAGCCCAGGGCUCAACCCUGGAACUGCCUUCGAUACUGGACAUCUUGAGUACGGGAGAGGUGAGUGGAACUCCGAGUGUAGAGGUGAAAUUCGUAGAUAUUCGGAAGAACACCAGUGGCGAAGGCGACUCACUGGCCCGUUACUGACGCUGAGGCGCGAAAGCGUGGGGAGCAAACAGG
RNAcentral lists this ribosomal RNA (253 nucleotides) under uncultured bacterium. Its description in RNAcentral is "partial 16S ribosomal RNA". It matches the Rfam family "Bacterial small subunit ribosomal RNA", at positions 524 to 776 of the family's 1533-position model. The record is from RNAcentral.